CUUGCUCUCUGGGUGACGAGCGGCGGACGGGUGAGUAAUGUCUGGGAAACUGCCUGAUGGAGGGGGAUAACUACUGGAAACGGUAUCUAAUACCGCAUAAUGUCUACGGACCAAAGUGGGGGACCUUCGGGCCUCAUGCCAUCAUAUGUGCCCAGAUGGGAUUAUCUAGUAGGUGGGGUAAUGGCUCACCUACGCGACGAUCCCUAUCUGGUCUGAGAGGAUGACCACCCACACUGGAACUGAGACACGGCCCACACUCCUACGGGAGGCGGCAGUGGGGAAUAUUGUUCACUGGGCACGAACCUGAUGCCGCCACGCCGCGUGUGUGAAUAU
Molecule: ribosomal RNA, 333 nt
Filed under: [Enterobacter] lignolyticus
Lineage: Bacteria; Pseudomonadati; Pseudomonadota; Gammaproteobacteria; Enterobacterales; Enterobacteriaceae
Description: bacterial SSU rRNA
Rfam family: Bacterial small subunit ribosomal RNA
Source: RNAcentral